GUCCAGGAUUUUUCAUUUUUGUCCGGUGGGAUUUGGGAAGGAAUGCAUUGCCUUGGAUUUAUAAAGAGCAUCGUCGGAGGUUCGUAUUUGUCAGGAUAUUGUCAGUAUGUCGUUGCUACCAAGAAAAGGUGGAAUUUAAGGGUCAAGAUUUUGACCUUUUGCCGGGUCAACAGCGCCGCACUUGGAAUUCGUAAGGACGAGAGGGCUUCCCAACUUGGAAACGGCAUCAAAACAUUUUAGGUUUUUAAUGUUUUAGGUGCCGAAAUCGUCGUUUUUCAUUUCGCCGAGUCGGGAAAUGGGAUUUUGUUUGUAUGCCGUUGCUGCCAGAAAAAAGUCGAUUUCAAGGGUCGCGAAAUUGACCUUUUGCCGGGUCAGCAGCGGCGCACCUAGGGUUAAGAAGGACGAGGGUGCACCCCAACAUGGAGACGGCAUCCAAACAUUAUAGGAUUUUUAUGUUUUAGGUGACAAAAGCUUCGUUUUUCGUUGCGCCUAGCAGGGAAGUAGUAGGUUGCGUAGUUUUAUGCUUUUAUUAAUAUGUUUUUCUUUUUCAGGGAUAUUGUCAGUGUUAUCGUUGCU
RNAcentral lists this small RNA (576 nucleotides) under Drosophila yakuba. RNAcentral's name for it is "GE27443". Lineage: Eukaryota; Metazoa; Arthropoda; Insecta; Diptera; Drosophilidae. The record is from RNAcentral.